UAAUAAACCAGAUGCUCCGCAGGGCGCAGCUUUAUACGACCGCAGAGGUUGAACCCUGAACGGUUGGGGCAAGUAUGGACACAACAUUCAAGCUGGAUUCAGCUCUAAAUUUGGAUUGUGAUUAAAUAGUUGACACAGCAUAGGUUUCUGACACAGAAUGAAUGUGGUCUAAUGAACUUAAAAAAAAUUUUUUUGCCUUUGAGCAAUUCACUAUGCUGUUGAAUAUUAAUCCUCUCAAAAAAUGUUUGAAGAAAUUUUCUUUUUAUUUAUGAAAUC
Molecule: long non-coding RNA, 276 nt
Filed under: Mytilus galloprovincialis (Mediterranean mussel)
Lineage: Eukaryota; Metazoa; Mollusca; Bivalvia; Mytilida; Mytilidae
Source: RNAcentral